RNAcentral lists this ribosomal RNA (387 nucleotides) under Triticum aestivum (bread wheat). Its description in RNAcentral is "partial small subunit ribosomal RNA". The record is from RNAcentral. Lineage: Eukaryota; Viridiplantae; Streptophyta; Magnoliopsida; Poales; Poaceae.
AUGUUCUUUACUUGUCCCGUGGCCAGGGUAGUCUCGAGAUCAAUUGUAGUGGAUCUAGGCACUGAUAAAUGCCCAACGAACUACUGGCAAUACUUCGUGUGGUGCCACAAGUUUCUCCCUGGAAAGAAAACUUUUUAUACAGUGGGCUUAGUGGCCACUUGUUGGGCCAUAUGGUUGGCACGCAAUCGAGCUACUUUUGAAAAGAAACAAAUCAAGACUCCUUUUGAGGUUGUGUUUUCUCUAUGCUCUUCUUUGCUCUACUGGACAGGACUACAGCAAGGGGGUGACGCCAAGGAGCUGCACACAGGAGCUGAGAUGAUCAGGGCUAGCACGAUGCAGCUGAUGAAGAUGUGUGGUGUUGUCAAACAACCGAUCCAAGGUGCUUGA